RNAcentral lists this transfer RNA (72 nucleotides) under Chelonia mydas (Green sea turtle). It matches the Rfam family "tRNA". Rfam says of the family: Transfer RNA (tRNA) molecules are approximately 80 nucleotides in length. Lineage: Eukaryota; Metazoa; Chordata; Testudines; Cheloniidae. The record is from Rfam by way of RNAcentral.
GGCAAUAUGGCCUAGUGGAUAGUGCAUUGGAUUGGGACUCAGGAUGCCUGAGUUCUACUCUGAGUUUUGCUA